ACUCCUACGGGAGGCAGCAGUGGGGAAUAUUGGACAAUGGGCGCAAGCCUGAUCCAGCCAUGCCGCGUGAGUGAUGAAGGCCCUAGGGUUGUAAAGCUCUUUCACCGGUGAAGAUAAUGACGGUAACCGGAGAAGAAGCCCCGGCUAACUUCGUGCCAGCAGCCGCGGUAAUACGAAGGGGGCUAGCGUUGUUCGGAUUUACUGGGCGUAAAGCGCACGUAGGCGGACUAUUAAGUCAGGGGUGAAAUCCCGGGGCUCAACCCCCGGAACUGCCUUUGAUACUGGUAGUCUUGAGUUCGAGAGAGGUGAGUGGAAUUCCGAGUGUAGAGGUGAAAUUCGUAGAUAUUCGGAGGAACACCAGUGGCGAAGGCGGCUCACUGGCUCGAUACUGACGCUGAGGUGCGAAAGCGUGGGGAGCAAACAGGAUUAGAAACCCUAGUAGUCCCAUG
Molecule: ribosomal RNA, 449 nt
Filed under: uncultured organism
Description: partial 16S ribosomal RNA
Rfam family: Bacterial small subunit ribosomal RNA
Source: RNAcentral